This 217-nucleotide ribosomal RNA is filed under the name uncultured bacterium. RNAcentral describes it as "partial 16S ribosomal RNA". It matches the Rfam family "Bacterial small subunit ribosomal RNA", at positions 328 to 539 of the family's 1533-position model. The record is from RNAcentral.
ACGCUCGACACCUACGGGAGCAGCAGUGAGGAAUAUUGGUCAAUGGACGCAAGUCUGAACCAGCCAUGCCGCGUGCAGGAUGACGGCUCUAUGAGUUGUAAACUGCUUUUGUACGAGGGUAAACGCAGAUACGUGUAUCUGUCUGAAAGUAUCGUACGAAUAAGGAUCGGCUAACUCCGUGCCAGCAGCCGUGGUAAUCUGAGCGGGCUGGCAAGGC